RNAcentral lists this ribosomal RNA (24 nucleotides) under uncultured Cadophora. Its description in RNAcentral is "partial 18S ribosomal RNA". Lineage: Eukaryota; Fungi; Ascomycota; Leotiomycetes; Helotiales. The record is from RNAcentral.
GGAUCAUUACAGAGAACAUCGCCC